CCUUUGACGUUAGCGGCGGACGGGUGAGUAACACGUGGGUAACCUACCUAUAAGACUGGGAUAACUUCGGGAAACCGGAGCUAAUACCGGAUAAUAUUUCGAACCGCAUGGUUCGAUAGUGAAAGGUGGUUUUGCUAUCACUUAUAGAUGGACCCGCGCCGUAUUAGCUAGUUGGUAAGGUAACGGCUUACCAAGGCACGAUACGUAGCCGACCUGAGAGGGUAAUCGGCCACACUGGAACUGAGACACGGUCCAGACUCCUACGGGAGGCAGCAGCG
RNAcentral lists this ribosomal RNA (278 nucleotides) under uncultured Staphylococcus sp. RNAcentral describes it as "partial 16S ribosomal RNA". It matches the Rfam family "Bacterial small subunit ribosomal RNA", at positions 83 to 356 of the family's 1533-position model. The record is from RNAcentral. Lineage: Bacteria; Bacillati; Bacillota; Bacilli; Caryophanales; Staphylococcaceae.